Molecule: long non-coding RNA, 233 nt
Organism: Daucus carota subsp. sativus
Lineage: Eukaryota; Viridiplantae; Streptophyta; Magnoliopsida; Apiales; Apiaceae
Exons: 2
Source: RefSeq, a predicted model, not a curated record
UAUAUUAAAACAAUGAUUUUCGGGAUUCGUUGAUCGAUUUUCCCAUCGUCUCCAUCAUCCGAUCAGCCAUCAUAUUAUAGUCUGAAGCCUGUCCGGAUUCUUGGAAGAAGACUGGUUUUCUUUUCGGACAUUAAAGUUUUAUUGUCUAAAUUUCCCCGGUCAUCUUGCAUGUCCGACGGUUAGAUAAUAAGCUUUCUUGAAUGAAAGAAUUAUCACGGUGAAUUGCCGAGUCA